RNAcentral lists this non-coding RNA (24 nucleotides) under Gossypium hirsutum (cotton). Lineage: Eukaryota; Viridiplantae; Streptophyta; Magnoliopsida; Malvales; Malvaceae. The record is from RNAcentral.
AUCACCCAGCACCCGGGACUCACU